GGAUGAUAUUAUUUGGCUGAAGAACAUUGGUUAACAUUCAUGGCCAAUUUAUUCCUUCCAGACAAGGCAAGAGCUGAUAUCACCAAUAAGGAAGCGGACUGGAGCUUUAGCAAUAUCUGUGCAGAGGGACCGGACUGCAGGCACCCAGAGGAUUGGGGGUAAAUGUUUAAUUGUUAGAAAAAGCCUUGACGUUUAACAGUAGGAUUGCACCAAGGAAUUAAUUGCAUCUUAACCACUAUAUCUGGCGAAAUGGUUCAUACAUUUAUAGCCCCUUUGCUAGCAAAUAUUUUAUGUAAACUGUUUUUUUGUUUGUUUGUUUUUUUAAACCUGGUCAAUGACAUGUAAGUAAAACAUCAGUUUCAUAUAAUUAUUAAACAGAUUCCCUGUAUACAUGACAUCUGCUGUAUAUAUAUAUA
Non-coding RNA from Pelobates cultripes (western spadefoot toad), 416 nucleotides. NCBI's taxonomy places the organism in Eukaryota, Metazoa, Chordata, Amphibia, Anura, Pelobatidae. The record is from the annotation of a GenBank genome assembly.